GAUGAACGCUGGCGGCGUGCCUAAUACAUGCAAGUCGAGCGAACGGACGAGAAGCUUGCUUCUCUGAUGUUAGCGGCGGACGGGUGAGUAACACGUGGAUAACCUACCUAUAAGACUGGGAUAACUUCGGGAAACCGGAGCUAAUACCGGAUAAUAUUUUGAACCGCAUGGUUCAAAAGUGAAAGACGGUCUUGCUGUCACCUAUAGAUGGAUCCGCGCUGCAUUAGCUAGUUGGUAAGGUAACGGCUUACCAAGGCAACGAUGCAUAGCCGACCUGAGAGGGUGAUCGGCCACACUGGAACUGAGACACGGUCCAGACUCCUACGGGAGGCAGCAGUAGGGAAUCUUGCGCAAUGGGCGAAAGCCUGACGGAGCAACGCCGCGUGAGUGAUGAAGGUCUUCGGAUCGUAAAACUCUGUUAUUAGGGAAGAACAUAUGUGUAAGUAACUGUGCACAUCUUGACGGUACCUAAUCAGAAAGCCACGGCUAACUACGUG
RNAcentral lists this ribosomal RNA (497 nucleotides) under uncultured bacterium. RNAcentral's name for it is "partial 16S ribosomal RNA". It matches the Rfam family "Bacterial small subunit ribosomal RNA", at positions 28 to 507 of the family's 1533-position model. The record is from RNAcentral.